Molecule: ribosomal RNA, 440 nt
Filed under: uncultured bacterium
Lineage: Bacteria
Description: partial 16S ribosomal RNA
Rfam family: Bacterial small subunit ribosomal RNA
Source: RNAcentral
CCUACGGGUGGCAGCAGUAGGGAAUAUUGCUCAAUGGGGGAAACCCUGAAGCAGCAACGCCGCGUGCAUGAUGAAGGUUUUCGGAUUGUAAACUCCUUUUGUUAGAGAAGAUAAUGACGGUAUCUAACGAAUAAGCACCGGCUAACUCCGUGCCAGCAGCCGCGGUAAUACUGGGUGUGCAAGCGUUGUCCGGAAUCAUUGGUCGUAAAGAGUUCGUAGGCGGGAUAGCAAGGCAGAUGUGAAAUCCUAUGGCUUAACCAUAGAACUGCAGUUGAAACUGUUAUUCUAGAGUAUGGGAGAGGUAGGUGGAAUUCUUGGUGUAGGGGUGAAAUGCGUAGAGAUAAAGAGGAAUACUCAUUGCGAAGGCGACUUGCUAGAACAUAACUGACGCUGAUGCGCGAAAGCGUGGGGAGCAAACAGGAUUAGAUACCCUGGUAGUC